RNAcentral lists this ribosomal RNA (253 nucleotides) under uncultured bacterium. RNAcentral's name for it is "partial 16S ribosomal RNA". It matches the Rfam family "Bacterial small subunit ribosomal RNA", at positions 524 to 776 of the family's 1533-position model. The record is from RNAcentral.
UACGUAGGGUGCAAGCGUUAAUCGGAAUUACUGGGCGUAAAGCGUGCGCAGGCGGUGAUGUAAGACAGAUGUGAAAUCCCCGGGCUUAACCUGGGAACUGCGCUUGUAACUGGCAAGCUAGAGUGUGGCAGAGGGGGGUGGAAUUCCACGUGUAGCAGUGAAAUGCGUAGAGAUGUGGAGGAACACCGAUGGCGAAGGCAGCCCCCUGGGUUAACACUGACGCUCAUGCACGAAAGCGUGGGGAGCAAACAGG